GUUGAAAAAAAGUAAUAAAAUUCACGCAUGCGCUAACAACGUAGUCAGCAGACAAACUCAGGAGCCAAAAACUCCAGUCAUAUAAAUCUUCAGCACCUGAGCAGCUCGAGGAUGAGAUAAAAAAAAAAAAUUAAAAAAAAUGAACCUACCAUGGAGAAGUGCUACCCUUCUUCACAGAAAAGUGAGCUCCAGACUUCAAUCAGUCAUUGCUGCAAAGAACAGAGGCGGAGGCUUCAAAUCAGAACAUCUUGUCAACACUUGUGUGAUGUUCUGCCCUUCGUCAACGGUCAGUUAGACAUAGCAACCACACUAGAGCUCACCGCGAAUUAUAUAAGCUAUUUGAAAGAGACUCUUCCUCCAGGUAUUCUGUCUAAAGUUGAGUGGUUGAGAUGAAUUCCAGCAUUUUCUGGAAAAGCAUACAGAGAUCACAAAAGAAAAG
Long non-coding RNA from Neolamprologus brichardi, 439 nucleotides. RefSeq lists it as uncharacterized. The record is from RefSeq and is a predicted model, not a curated record. Lineage: Eukaryota; Metazoa; Chordata; Actinopteri; Cichliformes; Cichlidae.